This is a non-coding RNA of Arachis ipaensis, 231 nucleotides long. The record is from RefSeq and is a predicted model, not a curated record. NCBI's taxonomy places the organism in Eukaryota, Viridiplantae, Streptophyta, Magnoliopsida, Fabales, Fabaceae.
UGGUAACAGAGCAGAACGCCUUAGGAUUAAAUCAGAUAUAUAUUUAUAUUCAAGUCCUGAUAUUGAGUGGUCAGAGCAAAAGGUUAAGUUGAAUGAUGUUGAGCACAAGUUAAAAGAUCAAGGACGUCAACUAAAGGUUCAACAGAAAAGAGUUGGUUCUACUAAAAAGACAAUUCAUCUUUGUAUAAAAAGUUGAAUCUCUCACUUCCUUCAACCUUGUCUGAUCCUGCA